This 253-nucleotide ribosomal RNA is filed under the name uncultured bacterium. RNAcentral describes it as "partial 16S ribosomal RNA". It matches the Rfam family "Bacterial small subunit ribosomal RNA", at positions 524 to 776 of the family's 1533-position model. The record is from RNAcentral.
UACGAGGGGGGCGAGCGUUGUUCGGAAUUAUUGGGCGUAAAGGGUGCGUAGGCGGUUUGGUAAGUCUGAUGUGAAAUCUAUGGGCUCAACUCAUAGUCUGCAUCGGAAACUGCCGGGCUUGAGUGUGGGAGAGGUGAGUGGAAUUUCUGGUGUAGCGGUGAAAUGCGUAGAUAUCAGGAGGAACACCUGUGGCGAAAGCGGCUCACUGGACCAUAACUGACGCUGAUGCACGAAAGCUAGGGGAGCAAACAGG